This 429-nucleotide ribosomal RNA is filed under the name Acidobacteriota bacterium. RNAcentral's name for it is "Acidobacteria bacterium partial 16S ribosomal RNA". It matches the Rfam family "Bacterial small subunit ribosomal RNA", at positions 355 to 776 of the family's 1533-position model. Lineage: Bacteria; Pseudomonadati; Acidobacteriota. The record is from RNAcentral.
UGGGGAAUUUUGGACAAUGGGGGAAACCCUGCUCCAGCCAUCCCGCGUGUGCGAUGAAGGCCUUCGGGUUGUAAAGCACUUUUGGCAGGAAAGAAACGUCAUGGGUUAAUACCCCGUGAAACUGACGGUACCUGCAGAAUAAGCACCGGCUAACUACGUGCCAGCAGCCGCGGUAAUACGUAGGGUGCAAGCGUUAUUUGGAAUUACUGGGCGUAAAGCGUGCGCAGGCGGUUCGGAAAGAAAGAUGUGAAAUCCCAGAGCUCAACUUUGGAACUGCAUUUUUAACUACCGGGCUAGAGUGUGUCAGAGGGAGGUGGAAUUCCGCGUGUAGCAGUGAAAUGCGUAGAUAUGCGGAGGAACACCGAUGGCGAAGGCAGCCUCCUGGGAUAACACUGACGCUCAUGCACGAAAGCGUGGGGAGCAAACAGG